RNAcentral lists this ribosomal RNA (253 nucleotides) under uncultured Aquicella sp. Its description in RNAcentral is "partial 16S ribosomal RNA". It matches the Rfam family "Bacterial small subunit ribosomal RNA", at positions 524 to 776 of the family's 1533-position model. The record is from RNAcentral. Lineage: Bacteria; Pseudomonadati; Pseudomonadota; Gammaproteobacteria; Legionellales; Coxiellaceae.
UACAGAGGGUGCAAGCGUUAAUCGGAUUUACUGGGCGUAAGGGGCGCGUAGGCGGUUGUAUGAGUGUGAUGUGAAAGCCCCGGGCUUAACCUGGGAAGCGCAUCGCAAACGAUACAACUGGAGUAGAUGAGAGGGUGGCGGAAUUUCCGGUGUAGCGGUGAAAUGCGUAGAGAUCGGAAGGAACGUCAAUGGCGAAGGCAGCCACCUGGCAUCAUACUGACGCUGAGGCGCGAAAGCGUGGGGAGCGAACAGG